Molecule: ribosomal RNA, 547 nt
Filed under: uncultured bacterium
Lineage: Bacteria
Description: partial 16S ribosomal RNA
Rfam family: Bacterial small subunit ribosomal RNA
Source: RNAcentral
UGGGGAAUUUUGGACAAUGGGCGAAAGCCUGAUCCAGCAAUGCCGCGUGUGUGAAGAAGGCCUUCGGGUUGUAAAGCACUUUUGUCCGGAAAGAAAUCCUUGGCUCUAAUACAGUCGGGGGAUGACGGUACCGGAAGAAUAAGCACCGGCUAACUACGUGCCAGCAGCCGCGGUAAUACGUAGGGUGCAAGCGUUAAUCGGAAUUACUGGGCGUAAAGCGUGCGCAGGCGGUUUGCUAAGACCGAUGUGAAAUCCCCGGGCUCAACCUGGGAACUGCAUUGGCGACUGGCAGGCUAGAGUAUGGCAGAGGGGGGUAGAAUUCCACGUGUAGCAGUGAAAUGCGUAGAGAUGUGGAGGAAUACCGAUGGCGAAGGCAGCCCCCUGGGCCAAUACUGACGCUCAUGCACGAAAGCGUGGGGAGCAAACAGGAUUAGAUACCCUGGUAAUCCACGCCCUAAACGAUGUCAACUAGUUGUUGGGGAUUCAUUUCCUUAGUAACGUAGCUAACGCGUGAAGUUGACCGCCUGGGGAGUACGGUCGCAAGAUU